CCUACGGGCGGCAGCAGUGAGGAAUAUUGGUCAAUGGGCGCGAGCCUGAACCAGCCAAGUAGCGUGAAGGAUGACUGCCCUACGAGUUGUAAACUUCUUUUGUACAGGAAUAAAGUGCGGCACGUGUGCCUUUUUGUAUGUACUUUAUGAAUAAGGAUCGGCUAACUCCGUGCCAGCAGCCGCGGUAAUACGGAGGAUCCGAGCGUUAUCCGGAUUUAUUGGGUUUAAAGGGAGCGUAGAUGGGUUGUUAAGUCAGUGGUGAAAGAUCGCGGCUCAACCUUGAAAUUGCAAUUGAUACUGGCAGACUUGAGAACAGAUGAGGUAGGCGGAAUGUGUGGUGUAGCGGUGAAAUGCAUAGAUAUCACGAAGAACUCCGAUUGCGAAGGCAGCUUACUAAGCCGGCACUGACACUGAUGCUCGAAAGUGUGGGGAUCAAACAGGAUUAGAUACCCUAGUAGUC
RNAcentral lists this ribosomal RNA (460 nucleotides) under uncultured bacterium. RNAcentral describes it as "partial 16S ribosomal RNA". It matches the Rfam family "Bacterial small subunit ribosomal RNA", at positions 338 to 795 of the family's 1533-position model. The record is from RNAcentral.